UUAUUUACAUAACAUACAGUGAGUAAAAUUAAUAGACUACUACAUACUGUACAUUCUCAAAUAUCAUAUACCAACCUUAGUUAGGUACUUUUAUCAUAACACUGUUACAUAAAGCAUACAUUAAGAUUAAGCCAAAUAUAAAAAUAAUAGGCAGUUCCACCACCAUAAUUUACGAUAAUUGCAAGCAGUGGUCAUCCCUAAAAUAUAUAAAUGGUCACUAAUAUUUCACUAGACAUUGAAGUGGCUUAGAUAAUUAUACACAAAAUAGUUAGUUAACUCUUAAAAUGACAUUUGGCAACUCUGGCCGAGCAAAACCUUGGAAAUGUUGUCAGGAUCAUAAAAAUGAACUUCUUUAACAUAAUGCCAGUUACUUCUUUUUAGUUUGCUCACUUUUCAUUAGAACAGACAUAACCCUGCAAGCUUGGUUCUUUAAUGGCACAACCAAAGGCUUAAAGAAAAAAUAAUAAUUAAAAUUUGAUUUCAAAUUAAUACCUCCGAGAACUCACCUUCGAGCUGUUUUAAAAGCUGCCGUAUCUACACCAACAAAAGUCAUUUAGAGUUGUUAAUAACUUAGAAUCAAUUUUCUUACAAUUCAAUUUACCACUACUCCAUCAAAGCAAAUAUUUGAGUAAAAAGGUCCGCAAAUGAAAAAAAAAAGUCAAAAAGCUUCACCUUCACUGCAUCCUCCACUUUAAAGCCCAACAAUAGUAAUGCCUAUAAACAAGAAUUUUAUAGUUGUAAAAUCCAAGUAAAAAGUCAAAUAACGAUCAAAUAUCUUAAUCUUAUAGUUAUGAUCUAAUUAAAGAGGUAAAAGCUUCAAGGUUUUACCAAACCUUUCUUUAAGCCAUUUACUCUCCAAGAAAACUGUACUGUUGAAUUUCAGUAUAAUCAUAAUUAAAUUUUAAUCACUUUAACUUUUUUUUCCGACAAUAAGAAAACUGGAUUCAUAUUUAAGAUCAAAGUGUAUGUAAUAAUAUUAGCCGUACAGCCAUACAACCAUGUUUAACUGAAAGCCAAAUUGGCAAAACAUUUGCAGUAAGGUUCCAGCAAAACAUGUCGAACAAUGAAAUUUUGCUGUUGAUCUUUCAAUUUUGACACUUUCUUUUUUAAUCUUGAAAGAAAAAUAAAAUGGUGAAGUACGAGAUUUAAAUUAGAGAAAGUGCAUGUUUGAAAAAAAGGAAAGAGAAAUAAAUAAAGAGAAAAGAAUCUGAAAUUUAGGAAUAAAAUACAUAACUUUAGUAACUGAUAGGAGAAAUAUUAAAAAUAAAUCCUUACCAUCCUCUAAAUCUUAGGAAAAAUUAGAUUAGGAGAGAAUUCAAGUCCUAUAAUUUGAUGUGUUAUAUUAAGCAUAAAGAAAGAAGCAUUCGUUACAAGAAAUUGGGGGGGGGGGGGGGGGGGGUUGGUGGAGGUGGGAUCAUAAGCAUUUAAAGGAAUGAACUUUGGAUCUUCGGUUAAUUCACUCGGAACUUCUGUAACACGCUUGUAAAAGUAAAUUAACAACUCAAUAUUCAAUUGAAAAGCAACAAAGACAAAAAAUUAUUUUAGAAUGUAAAAUUAAUAUGCAAAUUAAAAACAGAGACAAGGGUAAGCGCACACACACCUUCAGUUGAUGCACGUGGCGUUGGUGGGUGUAUUAGUUCCAAGCUGUGAGCACAAGUGCUACUCGUCUUUGACGAUAAAGAAAAAAUAAAAUUUUGAAAUUUGUGAAACUGUAUGUGGAUUUGACGAAACUGAAGGAAUCAAAAGAAGAGUUCAGAAAAUCUCCAAAAGAAGAGUUCAUUCUCAUCCUCUGAAUUGUAAAUUAAUUAUUAUUUCUAUAAAAAAAUUUCAAAACAGAAUCGAUUAAAACACGAAUCGGAUCAUACCUAGGGUUUAGAAGAGAUGAGAAAUUGAGAAAAUGCAGCAGGUUCUUUGGACUCAAACGCGUCCUCGCUCGUUCUCGCUCAAUAUCGUUGUGAAAUCAAUGAGUUUUUGUACUGGCUAGAAUUCUUUUAAAGAAACUAGGAUUUUUGAUUCCCUAAUAUGUAGGCAAUAAUUUAUUAGCUACUCUCCAUUUUUUAUUUCGUCCAAUGCUUUAAAAGAGAAAUUAGUUCUUUGUGGUGUUCUUGUUCUUGGUCAUUACAAUUUUGCGGUCAUUCCAUGAACUCAGGGUUUGAGCAAGAGAAGAAACUGAAUUUUCGAAGAUUUUAAAAAUUGGAGUGAGUUGAUUUUGCAUUCAAAUCAGACAACCUGAUAUUGCACU
This 2242-nucleotide long non-coding RNA is filed under the name Citrus x clementina. RNAcentral describes it as "Citrus clementina (C. clementina) long non-coding RNA (CCLE_LNC000936)". Lineage: Eukaryota; Viridiplantae; Streptophyta; Magnoliopsida; Sapindales; Rutaceae. The record is from RNAcentral.